This is a long non-coding RNA of Pangasianodon hypophthalmus (striped catfish), 4465 nucleotides long. RefSeq lists it as uncharacterized. The transcript has 2 exons. The record is from RefSeq and is a predicted model, not a curated record. NCBI's taxonomy places the organism in Eukaryota, Metazoa, Chordata, Actinopteri, Siluriformes, Pangasiidae.
AAAUUGUUUGUUUUCUUUUAGAUGCUGUUUGAUGGUUAGAACCACUCCCCUGUCCUGACGAGCCUUUAUAAUAUGCUAGUUCCGUGUAAAAUGACUGUUCCCGCCCUAUUGUAAAACAAAACGUGAUUGGAUGGAGCGACACUGUGCUACGAUUGGUCAGCGAAAUGUGGCCGUUAUCCGAUUGGCUUGAGUCUGUCUUUUUGUCGAUUUGUGUGCACGUCUUGACGCUAGAAAUAUUUCAAAAUCCACAAACGCACAGGAAGAGAUCCUUGAAAGAAUGCCAGGCAGAGUUUUGUUUGUGCCAAACAUUUGUAAAUACUUUUAUUUGCAAAUCUGUUUCAUUUUUGUGGAUCUCUCUACAUUUAUUUGGAAAUAAGGAACCAUUCUAACCCCAUAUUCGUGCAUCGCUACCGAAUCCACGGCAAAAACCCGACUUCUGAUUUUGCAGUAAACUGUAUGGUGAGAUUAAAAGUGUUUGUGACAUAAAAACAUAUUUGUAAAUAUUUUGUUUAUUUGCAAAUCUCAUUUUAUUUAUUUGCAUAUUUCAUUUUUGUGAAACUCCUGACAUAUAUUCGUGGAUCUCAAUCUAUUUAUUUGUGAAUUUGUUUAAAAUUUGUAAAUCUCUACAUUUAUUUGUGGAUUGUAAUCUAUUUAUUCGGAAAUAUGAAACAAUUCUAAGACCAUCGGUCCCCCUCAAUAAUCAGAUAUGGCCAAAUCGAAAUGGCCAAUCAAAUCAAAGUAGGCGGGCUUUACUGUUCACAGAAGCCACGCGGCACUUCAGCUGUAACAGUGAAAGAGUGCGAGGUAAGAUGUAAGCUAAGUAGCUGAAGUUUAAAACUGCAUUCACGCAAUGUUGUAAUUACUGUAAUUACGAGAUUACAACCCAGAUGAUCUACUCAGAGCUGUUCAUGUCCUCGGAAUCAGAAGUAUGCAUAACAGUCUGUGGUAGCUACAUUGAACUGUAUUGUAUGUUUUUCAUUUAUUUUCAGAUUAUUAUUAAUGUUUUAAUAAUGCAAGAUUAGUCAGUUAUACGAAUUAUUACACAGAAAUAUUACAAGACAACUACUUAACUACAUUUUACUGCUGAAGCAGUGAAUGAAGCAAUGAAUUCAAUGAACAUGGUUACCUAGCUUUCCUGGUAGCCUUUCAGUAAAUUCACUUGUCUAAGGAAAUGAAUAAUAAAACUCAGUGUGAGAGUUUUCAUCCUCAGGCUUAAACUAGAACAUGGUAAAACGUGUGGAUUUGACUCAAGUGUGCUUUUAGGUUGUGGUUCGGGAGGUUAGAUGUGUGUGUGUGUGUGUGGGGGGGGGGGAUUUCUAUAACUGCUGAUCUCCUGGGAUUUUCACACACAACAGUCUCUAGAGUUGACUCUGAAUGGUGCAAUAAAGAAAAAACAUCCAGUGAGCUUCAGUUCUGCAGAUGGAAAUGUCUUGUUGAUAAGUGGUACACAGAUAGUAGGGUCAGAAUUUGGCACCAACCAUCCAUGGACCCAACCUGCCUUGUGUCAACAGUCCAGGCUGGUGGAGGUGGUGUAAUGGUGUGGGGAAUGUUUUCUUGGCACAUUUUGGGCCUGUUAAUACCAAUCAAUCAUCGCUUGAAUGCCACAGCCUAUUCGAGUAUUGUUGCUGACCAUGUGCAUCCUUUCAUGGCCACAAUUUACCCAUCUUCUAUUGGCUAAUUUCAGCAUGACAAUGCACCAUGUCACAAAGCAAAAUUCAUCUCAAACUGUUUUCAUGAACAUGACAAUGAGUUCAGUAUUCUUCAGUGGCCUGCCCAGUCACCGGAUCUGAAUCCAAUAGGAGAUGAGGUAGAACAGGAGAUUCACAGCAUGAAAGUGCACCUGAAAAAUCUGCAGGAAUUGUGUGAAGUAAUCAUGUCAACAUGGGCCAGAAUCUCAGAGGAAUGUUUCCAUCAUCUUGUGGAACCCAUAUCAUGAAGAAUUAAGGCUGUUUUGAGAGCAAAUGGAGGCCCCACAAAGUAUUAGCGUAGUGUGCUCAGUAAGUGUAUGUGAUAUGUCAGAUGAACACUUGGGGUGAGUGAUGGAUAAACAUGAUACGGUGUCUGUUUUCAGUUUUUGAUAAUGUGGGCCCAGGUUGAGACAUCUUUUUCUGUGGUGGACCUUGAAAGUGAACUGCUGCAACCUCAGAGUCCAUCGGGUCAGACGCGAGAAGGUCUUGGGGCAGUCGAAUGCCCAGGCGAAGGGCCGCAUGGUAGGUGAAGACCUCAAAUUCCCUCACUUCUAGGUAGUGUCUCUACUUUUCCACUGCGCAUACCACCGCUAAACACUUCAUUUCAAUGCCUUUGAUGCAUAAGCUAUAGCUUGAUCUCCUUCUGUAGAAUGCUGCGUAAGAAUGGCUCCCAGUCCAACUUUGCUUGUGUGGACCUGGAAAGUCUGGACAAGGUUAGGCUGGGCAAGAACUGGUGAAUCUUGAAGGGCCUGCUUUAGGGCAUCCAUGCUGGCUUGGCAUUUGUAUGUCCAUUCCUAUUUAACUCCCUUCUUCUUUAAGUGGUUCAAAGGAGUUGCAAUGUACGCAAAAUGGGGAAUGAAUUUGUGAUACCAGCCAGCCAAGCCUCAAAGCACUCAAAGAUCAUUUGGCAGAGAGAAAUCGUCAGUGGUCUUCUCCGUAUUGACCUCUACCCCCUUUUCCAGUGAUUCGAGGACAUCAUGUGUGAGUGGCAUUGAGUAAGCAUUUGGGAUGGUCUUACUGUUGAGCCUCCUGUAAUUGACGCAUAAGGCACGAGGACCACCGGGGAUGACCAUGGAGAGAGAGGGCUCGAUGAUAUUUUCUUGGAGCAUUCUGUCCACCUGGUCUUCAGUUAUUUUAUUUCGAAAGAUGAGACUAUAGGCUCUGCAUUUACUUGGUAUGUUGUCAGAGGGCGAUUUUGUGUUUUUCCACAGCUGUACGACCCAAGACACCGGAGGUGGAACAAGGCCAGGACAACAUCAACUUCUGUAGCUCCUCCAGGGUAUCAGAAUUCUAGAUUGGAAAACCUUUAUGAGUUAUGAAAGUUAGACAUGGGAACAAAAGAGUAGGACAUAAGGUGUAGUAGAGAUUCACAAUGACAGGAUGGAGGGAAAGAGCGCCUGCUGUUGUUUCGGGCCCAGGGUUCCCUGGGAUGGAAGGAACAGAUGUCUUCAGUCCUUUGCAGCCACCUCUGACAUCUAGGAUAACCCCAAAGGAACCAAGGAAGUCUAUGAGAGGGAACACCAGUGAAUCUUUCAACUGGCCAUGAUGAAUCUUUUUAGGGAGUGAGUACUGACUGCUGGAGCGUCUCCCCCUAACUGUCUCCAUAGGCUCUCCUGCAUCAAGAUGUAGGUGCUACCAGUGUCCAGCACUGCUUUCAUCUCCUUCCCUUUCACCAUCACAGGCACCAGGAGUAGUGUUGUGACAUCACGAUGUUGGGCUAUGGAAACUCCCGCAAGCUUUUUGGAGCAACUAUGGUCAGAUGGCUUCUUACUGGUCUUAUCUUUACUACUCUGAUUUCCCACCUUCUGCUAAUAGUCUUUUGCUCCCAUGCAUUCCUUCUCAACCGUGGAUCCAAUUUUCAUCAACUGUUCCAGUGUGUUCACUGCCCCUCUCAGGUAGCCAGCGACCCUUGGGUUGAUGUUAUUGAGUAUGCGGCUCAUCACUUUCUCCUCUGAGAUGUCAAGGCUUCCACAGAGGGCAGAGACAGAGGGCUCUGUAAUCUGUGAAAUCUCUCAGGUGUUGACUCAGCUGCUGUACAAGACUCCUCAGCUUAUCCUGCACUUCAGAAAAGUAAUCAUCUGGCAGGAAAGCAGCCAUAAAUGCCUCUUUGAAAGAUUUCCAAUCACUCACUCUUGUCUUUUCUGCCUUCCACCAGCUCAGAGCAGGUCAUCUCAGCACUGUACUCAAGGUUCCCAUGAGCUCCACACUGGGUAGGGGCCUGAUAUCCAGGAAGUUUUACCAUUGCUCAAUAAAGUUGGGCACAUCUGCCAUCUCACAAGAGUCACUGAAGGAGGGGAACUCCAGUCAGAUGGGAGCUCGAACACAGAAUGAGGAUGCCCCAGCUCCAGCUGAGGAUGAGAGGGUGUUAUAGAGUUGAAUGUCAGCAGUUGGAUUGAUGUCAUAUGAGGCAGCUGAAGACUUAUGUUGUGGAAUUUUAUCUCUAGGCGCAGGCACCGGAGUUUUGGGAGAAUUAACGAAAGAAAUGUGAGGUAGCUGGGGUGUAAGAAUGUAAUCUGGUGAGUGUAGGGAUAAUAGUCUCUCUGAUUUUCUUCUUCUGACUCCCCCAUUUAGCAUCUCUCCACAGGAAACAAUCUAUAGCCACUCCCUCCAGUUUGUCCAGGGACCAUUCAAAAUAGUCCUCCAUCUGAGCUAUGCUAGCAUCCACUACCUCCCUGAGACUGGUUUUGUGGUUAAGCGUACUGCUGAUGAAUUGUUUGAAGUUUCUGUCUAGCUUUUAUACAUGUUCUCUAAGGGCCAAUAAAUCCACCUUAAGUUGU